Molecule: long non-coding RNA, 372 nt
Filed under: Hordeum vulgare
Lineage: Eukaryota; Viridiplantae; Streptophyta; Magnoliopsida; Poales; Poaceae
Description: long non-coding RNA (HVUL_LNC017339)
Source: RNAcentral
CCCCACCUGGAUGUCCACGGCCCUGAGGGCCGCGCGGUUGAUAUUCAGGUGGACCCCCACUUGGAUGUCCACGGCCCUGAGGGCCGCGCGGUUGAUAUUCAGGUGGACCACCACCUGGAUGUCCACGUCCCUGAGGGUCGUGCGGUUGAUAUUCAGGUGGACCCCCACCUUGAUGCCCACGGCCCUGAGGACCGCGCGGUUGAUAUUCAGGUGGACCACCACCUGGAUUUCCACGGCCCUGAGGGCCGCGCGGUUGAUAUUCAGGUGGACCACCACCUGAAUUUCCACGGCCCUGAGGGCCGCGCUGUUGAUAUUCUGGUGGACCACCGCCUGUUUGUCCACGGCCCUGAUAGUCACGCUGUUGAUAUUCUG